This 776-nucleotide ribosomal RNA is filed under the name uncultured Neocallimastigales. RNAcentral describes it as "partial large subunit ribosomal RNA". It matches the Rfam family "Eukaryotic large subunit ribosomal RNA", at positions 23 to 646 of the family's 3401-position model. Lineage: Eukaryota; Fungi; Neocallimastigomycota; Neocallimastigomycetes; Neocallimastigales. The record is from RNAcentral.
AGAGAGAGACAUGCGCGCAUAUCAAUAAGCGGAGGAAAAGAAACUAACUAGGAUUCCCUCAGUAACGGCGAGUGAAGCGGGAAGAGCUCAAAUUUGAAAUCUUCAAGGUUCUACCUUGACGAAUUGUAGUUUAAAGAAGUGUUUUCUGUUGGAGUUUUGGUAAAAGUUCUUUGGAAUAGGACAUCCAUAGAGGGUGAGAAUCCCGUAUUUGACCAUUAUUUCCAGCUUUGUGAUACACUUUCAAAGAGUCGGAUUGUUUGGGAAUGCAGUCCAAAAUGGGUGGUAAAUUUCAUCUAAAGCUAAAUAUUGGCGAGAGACCGAUAGCGAACAAGUACCGUGAGGGAAAGAUGAAAAGAACUUUGAAAAGAGAGUUAAACAGUACGUGAAAUUGUCAAAAGGGAAGCGUUUGACACCAGUGUUGUUUUCUCGAAAAUCAAUUAAAAAAGGCAGGAUUUUGUGUUGUAUUGACUUUAUCAGCUUUCUGCACUCUUUUCCUUGUCUUUUUUAAUGCACUUUUCGUUUAACAAGUCAACAUCAAUUUCUUUUGUUGUAAAAGGGUCAUUGGAAGGUGGCUUUCUUUUCGGAGAAAGUGUUUAUAGCCUUUGGCCUCUGCAAUCGGAGAGAUUGAGGUCUGCAGCGUAGAUCCUUCGGGGUUAGAUACAUUUGUGCUAAGUUAUAGCCUUUCAUAGACAACUUGUUGACUAUGAUCAGUCAUGUAGCUUACUCGCUUAUGCUAUUUUACCUACGCUUAGGAUGUUGAUGUGAUACUGCGAGCA